Molecule: ribosomal RNA, 468 nt
Filed under: uncultured bacterium
Lineage: Bacteria
Description: partial 16S ribosomal RNA
Rfam family: Bacterial small subunit ribosomal RNA
Source: RNAcentral
GACGAACGCUGGCGGCGUGCUUAACACAUGCAAGUCGAACGGGAAGGCCCUGCUUUUGUGGGGUGCUCGAGUGGCGAACGGGUGAGUAACACGUGAGUAACCUGCCCUUGACUUUGGGAUAACUUCAGGAAACUGGGGCUAAUACCGGAUAGGAGCUCCUGCUGCAUGGUGGGGGUUGGAAAGUUUCGGCGGUUGGGGAUGGGCUCGCGGCUUAUCAGCUUGUUGGUGGGGUAGUGGCUUACCAAGGCUUUGACGGGUAGCCGGCCUGAGAGGGUGACCGGCCACAUUGGGACUGAGAUACGGCCCAGACUCCUACGGGAGGCAGCAGUGGGGAAUAUUGCACAAUGGGCGGAAGCCUGAUGCAGCAACGCCGCGUGCGGGAUGACGGCCUUCGGGUUGUAAACCGCUUUCGCCUGUGACGAAGCGUGAGUGACGGUAAUGGGUAAAGAAGCACCGGCUAACUACGUG